CACCGACACUCGGCCCCACGUGCCGAGAUUUUUAAAAGCACCCCCUCGUACUGAAAUCUAACACUUACGCCCCACCACGCGAACCCAAUCUUUUUACCAGUGUAGUGAUAGUGUUACUGAGGCUAAGUGAUUGGCUGUUUCAACGCAAGGAACAAUUUCAGAAAGAUUAUUGGAAGUGAGGUGCUGUUGGCGUUUUGUGGAUAUUCGAGUGGUUGGAUCGCACCGAAGUUUCCUCUUUUUUUUUUUUAAAGGAUAAUAUACUUUAAGAAUGCUAUGUGUUUGACUGGCCAUUUUGUCUUCUUCCUUGAUGGCGUCACAUGGAAUUCAUGAAGUUGGAUUAUUAUAGGAAAUGAAGUAGAUUGAGUUUUUGGACUUCUUUUUCAUGUUUUUCAUUUAUUUCAUGUUUUUCAUUUAUUAAUUAUCAUGCACAUUUGAUUUGGUUAUUAAAAAAUCUGCGGAUGUGUUUUUGUCAUUUCUAAUUCUAGAAGUUGUUGCAGUUAUUGUACUGAGGAAGGAAUAUGUGUUUUGUUAAUGAGCAUAAUGUUUCUUUUCACGUGACCCGGGACCAGGCAGCUCAAUCUGUGCUCUAGAAAGAGUUAGCUACCUGGUGGUUGUGGGUCUUGUAUACCAAAACCAAGACUUCCUCUGGUCUGCCCAAUGGUCUGUUUGGAUUGUUGGGAGCUGUUGAGGAUUUGUCAGACUUAGCAUUGCUUGCCAUUCUGGUUUACAAUAUUUGGAAAUUUUCAAAAGCUUCAUUCCAGGACGUCUCCCAACUGACUGGUGCUUUGGUUGAGAUAAUGUGAUAUGAGCCAGCUAUUACAAUUCUAUCUUCUAUCUGUGGUGUUCCAUUCUCAUCAAACUGUGCUAUGCUAGUGACUGCUAUUACUGAUUGAGUUUUUUUUUUUUUUUUUUUAAAUAUUUUUCAUGUAUUCAUUGAUGAAGCUUCUCUGUUUUUAAGGUAAUUAGAUAGGGAGAAUCGGAACUAGAAUGAAGCAUGUAAUUAUAAUUGCUCUUGAUUGGUUUAGUAUUGCCUUCAAAUCUGGAUUAAAGGCUUUCUUGAAGAUUUGGUAUGAUAAUUGCUCUUGAUUAGUUGAAUUUUGCCUUCAAAUCUAGACUAACUCGCCAUUUAUUUAGGAAGGCUUUGGGAAGGGACUUAUGCAGUUGUACUUGGCCGUUAUCUUAAGGUUUUCUGGAUGGACUUGGAUAUUGCGAUGACAAUGUCAAGUUUUAAAAAGAAACACAAAAAGUACUACUAUGUAGUGCCAUGUACUUAAUUAUUAAAUUUUUAUUGUGUGUGUGUGUUUUUAGACCGAGUUGAAGGAGGUGAACCGGGAAGGUGCAGAAAUUGAUGAUGCUCGAAGCACAAUAACAUGUGUUGAACAGUUCUUCCUAACAACAGAGGCUUAGUUUUUUAGCACAUAUAAACUGUUGCCAUUAAGGUGUAUUGUUUGUUUUCCCCAUAACAAUCAGUGUGGACAUACAGAGUGAUGCUUUUAUGUAAUAGUAAAAUGUUUCCACUCCCUUGCCUGUUAUUUGUUGUUGACAAAUGUGUGUAAACUUGGUUUUGUCCCACCAGUCAAUUCGUUCGAAUUGAGAUGGAGAUCUGCAUUUUGAAUCCAGAAAACAAGACAGAUGCAGUUGGUAAUCGUUUUUUUGAGUUUU
This is a long non-coding RNA of Mangifera indica (mango), 1662 nucleotides long. RefSeq lists it as uncharacterized. NCBI's taxonomy places the organism in Eukaryota, Viridiplantae, Streptophyta, Magnoliopsida, Sapindales, Anacardiaceae. The record is from RefSeq and is a predicted model, not a curated record. The transcript has 3 exons.